RNAcentral lists this ribosomal RNA (838 nucleotides) under uncultured Gemmatimonadota bacterium. RNAcentral describes it as "bacterial SSU rRNA". It matches the Rfam family "Bacterial small subunit ribosomal RNA", at positions 58 to 907 of the family's 1533-position model. Lineage: Bacteria; Pseudomonadati; Gemmatimonadota. The record is from RNAcentral.
CAAGUCACGGGGGGUAGCAAUACCAACCGGCGAACGGGUGCGUAACACGUGAGCAAUCUGCCGAUUUGAGGGGGAUAGCCGGCCCAACGGCCGGGUAAUACCGCAUACGCUUGCUUUCGGGAGUCCGAGGGCAAGGAAACCUCCGGGGCAAAUCGAGGAGCUCGCGGCCUAUCAGCUAGUUGGCGGGGUCAAGGCCCACCAAGGCGAUGACGGGUAGCUGGUCUGAGAGGAUGGCCAGCCACAUUGGGACUGAGAGACGGCCCAGACUCCUACGGGAGGCAGCAGUGGGGAAUCUUGCGCAAUGGUCGAAAGACUGACGCAGCGACGCCGCGUGUGGGAGGACGCCUUUCGGGGUGUAAACCACUGUUGCCCGGGACGAACAGCCUUUUUCGAGAGGCCUGACGGUACCGGGUGAGGAAGCACCGGCUAACUCCGUGCCAGCAGCCGCGGUAAUACGGAGGGUGCGAGCGUUGUCCGGAAUCACUGGGCGUAAAGGGCGCGUAGGCGGCCCUGGCAGUCGGUGGUGAAAGCCCGCGGCUCAACUGCGGGUCGGCCACCGAUACUCCAGGGCUCGAGUUUGGUAGAGGCAGAUGGAAUUCCGGGUGUAGCGGUGGAAUGCGUAGAGAUCCGGAAGAACACCGGUGGCGAAGGCGGUCUGCUGGGCCAAGACUGACGCUGAGGCGCGACAGCGUGGGGAGCAAACAGGAUUAGAUACCCUGGUAGUCCACGCCGUAAACGAUGGGCACUAGGUGCUUGGGGGAGCGACCCCUUGAGUGCCGGCGCUAACGCAUUAAGUGCCCCGCCUGGGGAGUACGGCCGCAAGGCUGAAACUCAAAGG